AUGAACGCUGGCGGCGUGCCUAAUACAUGCAAGUCGAGCGAACAGACGAGGAGCUUGCUCCUCUGACGUUAGCGGCGGACGGGUGAGUAACACGUGGAUAACCUACCUAUAAGACUGGGAUAACUUCGGGAAACCGGAGCUAAUACCGGAUAAUCUAUUGAACCGCAUGGUUCAAUAGUGAAAGACGGUUUUGCUGUCACUUAUAGAUGGAUCCGCGCCGCAUUAGCUAGUUGGUAAGGUAACGGCUUACCAAGGCAACGAUGCGUAGCCGACCUGAGAGGGUGAUCGGCCACACUGGAACUGAGACACGGUCCAGACUCCUACGGGAGGCAGCAGUAGGGAAUCUUCCGCAAUGGGCGAAAGCUUGACGGAGCAACGCCGCGUGAGUGAUGAAGGUCUUCGGAUCGUAAAACUCUGUUAUUAGGGAAGAACAAAUGUGUAAGUAACUAUGCACGUCUUGACGGUACCUAAUCAGAAAGCCACGGCUAACUACGUG
Molecule: ribosomal RNA, 496 nt
Filed under: uncultured bacterium
Lineage: Bacteria
Description: partial 16S ribosomal RNA
Rfam family: Bacterial small subunit ribosomal RNA
Source: RNAcentral